RNAcentral lists this ribosomal RNA (1488 nucleotides) under metagenome. RNAcentral describes it as "bacterial SSU rRNA". It matches the Rfam family "Bacterial small subunit ribosomal RNA". The record is from RNAcentral.
UUUGAUCAUGGCUCAGAUUGAACGCUGGCGGCAUGCCUUACACAUGCAAGUCGAACGGCAGCGCGGGAGCAAUCCUGGCGGCGAGUGGCGAACGGGUGAGUAAUACAUCGGAACGUGCCCAAUCGUGGGGGAUAACGCAGCGAAAGCUGUGCUAAUACCGCAUACGAUCUACGGAUGAAAGCAGGGGAUCGCAAGACCUUGCGCGAAUGGAGCGGCCGAUGGCAGAUUAGGUAGUUGGUGAGGUAAAGGCUCACCAAGCCUUCGAUCUGUAGCUGGUCUGAGAGGACGACCAGCCACACUGGGACUGAGACACGGCCCAGACUCCUACGGGAGGCAGCAGUGGGGAAUUUUGGACAAUGGGCGAAGGCCUGAUCCAGCCAUGCCGCGUGCAGGAUGAAGGCCUUCGGGUUGUAAACUGCUUUUGUACGGAACGAAACGGCCUUUUCUAAUAAAGAGGGCUAAUGACGGUACCGUAAGAAUAAGCACCGGCUAACUACGUGCCAGCAGCCGCGGUAAUACGUAGGGUGCAAGCGUUAAUCGGAAUUACUGGGCGUAAAGCGUGCGCAGGCGGUUAUGUAAGACAGUUGUGAAAUCCCCGGGCUCAACCUGGGAACUGCAUCUGUGACUGCAUAGCUAGAGUACGGUAGAGGGGGAUGGAAUUCCGCGUGUAGCAGUGAAAUGCGUAGAUAUGCGGAGGAACACCGAUGGCGAAGGCAAUCCCCUGGACCUGUACUGACGCUCAUGCACGAAAGCGUGGGAGCAAACAGGAUUAGAUACCCUGGUAGUCCACGCCCUAAACGAUGUCAACUGGUUGUUGGGUCUUCACUGACUCAGUAACGAAGCUAACGCGUGAAGUUGACCGCCUGGGGAGUACGGCCGCAAGGUUGAAACUCAAAGGAAUUGACGGGGACCCGCACAAGCGGUGGAUGAUGUGGUUUAAUUCGAUGCAACGCGAAAAACCUUACCCACCUUUGACAUGUACGGAAUUCGCCAGAGAUGGCUUAGUGCUCGAAAGAGAACCGUAACACAGGUGCUGCAUGGCUGUCGUCAGCUCGUGUCGUGGGAUGUUGGGUUAAGUCCCGCAACGAGCGCAACCCUUGUCAUUAGUUGCUACAUUCAGUUGGGCACUCUAAUGAGACUGCCGGUGACAAACCGGAGGAAGGUGGGGAUGACGUCAAGUCCUCAUGGCCCUUAUAGGUGGGGCUACACACGUCAUACAAUGGCUGGUACAAAGGGUUGCCAACCCGCGAGGGGGAGCUAAUCCCAUAAAACCAGUCGUAGUCCGGAUCGCAGUCUGCAACUCGACUGCGUGAAGUCGGAAUCGCUAGUAAUCGUGGAUCAGAAUGUCACGGUGAAUACGUUCCCGUGUCUUGUACACACCGCCCGUCACACCAUGGGAGCGGGUUCUGCCAGAAGUAGUUAGCUUAACCGCAAGGAGGGCGAUUACCACGGCAGGGUUCGUGACUGGGGUGAAGUCGUAACAAGGUA